Micropterus salmoides (largemouth bass) is the source of this 508-nucleotide long non-coding RNA. RefSeq lists it as uncharacterized. The record is from RefSeq and is a predicted model, not a curated record. NCBI's taxonomy places the organism in Eukaryota, Metazoa, Chordata, Actinopteri, Centrarchiformes, Centrarchidae. The transcript has 3 exons.
CAUUACUGGUAUUUGAACUUUACCUCACUUCUUCUGCCACACACACUUUGCCUCUCCUCUUUAUUCUUUAAAUGAGAAACCAGUGGCUUGUGUUUGACGGAACUGUAGACACACUGCGGAUGUGAUAACAAGGUUCCCACACUCGUCAAGAAGGGAAAAUCUCCUUGCCUGAACAGGACAUUAUUUUGCCCACACUCCGUGGACACCAAGAACAAAACCUGGUCUUCUUUUGAAGAUAAGCUGCCAAAGGGCUGGUGCUAUGCUGCCAACAGGUGGGAAACGCCUGUUGUGCUUCCUGGAUGACUUUAACGUAAUGGCACCACUUUGGCUCCCAGCCAAACUACAGACUACAGCUUCUGGAGCAACCACCAUGAACAGACCCUAAAGUGUGUGUAUGUGCGUGCAUUGUACUAAUUUUCUAAUUAUUAUUAUUAUUAUUUCCUUUAUUUGUAUUUUGUUUUUAAAUUUCACAUUUUAGGUUGUUUUUUUUAUUAAUUGAUUAGUUUUU